GUUCGAUUAAGCCAUGCGAGUCGCGAGAAAUUAGAUUCUCGGCGUACCGCUCAGUAACACGUGGGUAACCUGCCCUAUGCUGGAUAAUAACCUCGGGAAACUGAGUAUAAUGAUCCAUAGUUCACUACGCCUGGAACGGUGAGUGGAUGAAAGCUCCGGCGGCAUAGGAUGGGCCUGCGGCGUAUCAGGUAGUAGGGGGUGUAACGUACCCUCUAGCCCUCUACGCGUACGGGUGUUGGGAGACAUAGCCCGGAGAUGGAUUCUGAGACACGAAUCCAGACCCUACGGGGUGCAGCAGGCGCGAAAACUUGGCAAUGCGAGAAAUCGUGACCAGGGAACUCCAAGUGCAUCGGGUAAGACCGGUGCUUUUCUUGACUCUAAAUAGGUCUUGGAAUAAGGGGUGGGUAAGGACGGUGCCAGCCGCCGCGGUAAUACCGGCGCCUCAAGUGGUAGUCGCUUUUAUUGGGCCUAAAACGUCCGUAGCCGGUCUGAUACAUUCGUGGGUAAAUCAACCAGCUCAACUGGUUGAAUUCUGCGAGGACGGUCAGACUUGGGACCGGGAGAGGUGUGGGGGUACGCUCAGGGUAGGGGGUAAAAAUCCUGUCAUCCCUGAGCGGACCACCUGUUGCGAAGGCGCCACACUAGAACGGAUCCCGACGGUCAGGGACGAAGCCUAGGGGCACGAACCGGAUUAGAUACCCCGGGUAGUCCUAGGUGUAAACGCUGUGGACUUUGAUGUU
This 740-nucleotide ribosomal RNA is filed under the name uncultured marine archaeon. Its description in RNAcentral is "bacterial SSU rRNA". It matches the Rfam family "Archaeal small subunit ribosomal RNA", at positions 38 to 776 of the family's 1478-position model. The record is from RNAcentral.